RNAcentral lists this ribosomal RNA (308 nucleotides) under uncultured fungus. RNAcentral's name for it is "eukaryotic LSU rRNA". The stretch from base 1 to 122 matches the Rfam family "5.8S ribosomal RNA", at positions 34 to 154 of the family's 154-position model. Lineage: Eukaryota; Fungi. The record is from RNAcentral.
CGAUGAAGAACGCAGCGAAAUAGCGAUAAGUAAUAGUGAAUUGCAGAAUUCAGUGAAUCAUCGAAUCUUUGAACGCACAUUGCGCCCUUGGUAUUCCGGGGGGCAUGCCUGUUCGAGCGUCAUUAUAACCCUCAAGCCUAGCUUGGUGUUGGAGCCUGCCUCUGGGCAGCUCUUAAAAUCAGUGGCGGUGCCGUCUGGCUCUAAGCGUAGUAAUUUUUCUCGCUACAGAGUCCUGGCGGUUGCUUGCCAACAACCCCAAAUUUUCUAUGGUUGACCUCGGAUCAGGUAGGGAUACCCGCUGAACUUAA